Molecule: non-coding RNA, 30 nt
Filed under: Bos taurus (domestic cattle)
Lineage: Eukaryota; Metazoa; Chordata; Mammalia; Artiodactyla; Bovidae
Also listed under: 2 other names
Source: RNAcentral
UGAUUUCAAAUAUCCUGUCCCGUUGUCAGA